This 292-nucleotide ribosomal RNA is filed under the name uncultured bacterium. RNAcentral's name for it is "partial 16S ribosomal RNA". The record is from RNAcentral.
GGACUACAGGGGUAUCUAAUCCUGUUCGCUCCCCACGCUUUCGCUCCUCAGCGUCAGGUAAGGCCCAGAGAACCGCCUUCGCCACCGGUGUUCCUCCCGAUAUCUGCGCAUUUCACCGCUACACCGGGAAUUCCAUUCUCCCCUACCUACCUCUAGCCUGCCCGUAUCCACUGCCGACCCGGGGUUAAGCCCCGGGCUUUCACAGCGGACGCAACAGGCCGCCUACGAGCUCUUUACGCCCAAUAAUUCCGGACAACGCUCGCGCCCUACGUGUUACCGCGGCUGCUGGCAC